Molecule: ribosomal RNA, 325 nt
Filed under: uncultured bacterium
Lineage: Bacteria
Description: bacterial SSU rRNA
Rfam family: Bacterial small subunit ribosomal RNA
Source: RNAcentral
GACGAACGCUGGCGGCGUGCUUAACACAUGCAAGUCGAGCGGUAAGGCCCUUUCGGGGGUACGACGAGCGGCGAACGGGUGAGUAACACGUGGGUGACCUGCCCUCAGCUCUGGGAUAAGCCUGGGAAACCGGGGUCUAAUACCGGAUAUGACUCCAUGACGCAUGUUGUGGGGUGGAAAGCCUUGUGCGGCUGAGGAUGGGCCCGCGGCCUAUCAGCUUGUUGGUGGGGUGAUGGCCUACCAAGGCGACGACGGGUAGCCGGCCUGAGAGGGCGACCGGCCACACUGGGACUGAGACACGGCCCAGACUCCUACGGGAGGCAGC